AAGUCGUAACAAGGUAACCGUAGGUGAACCUGCGGUUGGAUCAUUAACAAAUUCAAUCAAUUUAAAGUUAGUGAGUGAGACGAAAGUUGAGCUCCUUUCUUUAAAACACCCCUGUGAACUGUAUUCUGUAUUUGGUGUAGGUUAAAACAGUCUCCUAGUGGGACUGGCUUUAGGGCACCCACACCAACUCUUACAAAACAUUAUAUUUUUUAUUUAUGUCUUGUUAUUUUUUGUAUUAAGCAAAAAACUUUAAUCAAAAAACAACUUUUGGCAACGGAUCUCUAGGCUCUU
This 291-nucleotide unclassified non-coding RNA is filed under the name fungal sp. RNAcentral's name for it is "partial internal transcribed spacer region". The stretch from base 1 to 46 matches the Rfam family "Eukaryotic small subunit ribosomal RNA", at positions 1786 to 1831 of the family's 1831-position model. The record is from RNAcentral. Lineage: Eukaryota; Fungi.